Dromaius novaehollandiae (emu) is the source of this 9072-nucleotide long non-coding RNA. RefSeq lists it as uncharacterized. The record is from RefSeq and is a predicted model, not a curated record. NCBI's taxonomy places the organism in Eukaryota, Metazoa, Chordata, Aves, Casuariiformes, Dromaiidae. The transcript has 5 exons.
GAAUUAACGGGAAAACAUUAUCUCCGGAGGGGGUUUGAGGGGUGAUUUUUCUCUCCGUCACCGGUGCCUCCGCGAGCGGACGGUGGGUAACGGCAGCGGGAGCGCGGCCGCUUCGCCAUUUCCUCCCCGCUUUGUCUUCCCAAGGACUCGGCCAGGCCAGGGGAUUUUAACGAUUAAAACCAAUUGAUCCGAUCCCGGAGCCAAGACCAAAACCGAUCAAACAAACAAAAAAAACCCCAAAGCGAAAGAGAAAAACCCGAUGCGCAAAUCGGUCCGAUAAACGGGUUGGAUUUGUGUUUUUUCCCCGUUUUGAAGGCUACGCGCUGCAUUUCCGAGCGACCUGCGGGUUUCGGCGUUGGAGACAAAUAAAUAAACAUCCAGAAAGAAGCAAAAGGCAGGAAGGGAGCAGGACACGGGCGUGUGGCUAAAUAAACGCGGAGUCGCAAGGGGACAAAGCGGGUGGGAAAAGGGAAGACGGGGAUGAUCCCCCCCAAACCGACACCCCCAGAAGAUUUUGCGGCGCUGGCGGAGGCAGCAGCUGGGGAAGAGCUGCACGGUUACGGGGUUAAACGGGAGGACAGAGGAGCCCUCGAAGGGGUCGUUACCGGCGGGACGGAGCGGGCUCUCCCGCGGCCGGCGGCGAAAACGGAGCGGCCGCAAACGAAAUCGGCCGCCGCCGACGCCCAUCGCCGCGGCGGCGGGGCGCGGGCAGCAGGCUUUGCUGUGGUCCCUUUGCCUCGUCACUGAAGUCCCAGGGACUCGCCGGUGCCACCUGCUCUCUGGAUCGAUGACCUCAGCUUGCUCCCAGCCUCCAGGGAUGAUCCGACUUGCCGUGGUCCGUGCAGGUAAACCCGACCGGGCUGCGGCCGUGGGGGUCUCAGACCAGCCCGGCUCUCCAGUGGCCACCUCUGCCCCUUCCUUGCCCGGAUAAAGGACAACGGAGACGCGAGAGGAUGGUGGCUGGGAGCCCAGGGAUCCGGGCUGGGAGCGGGAUUUGCUCCACGAUUAAGAGCCUGGCUUGAUUCGGCUGUCGCUUUUUCUCGCUUGUGCUCAAAGCUGCUUUCGCUAAGCCGCUUGCUGAGCAAUCGCUCUUGAUUCAUCUUCCCAAUUUUGUCUGCGCCGUCCCCGUGGGGUAAGUUUUCGGCAAGGCUCCGGCAGCGGGUGAGUCUGGGCGUGCGGAGAGGUCCGUGUGGAGCGAGGUGGGGGAGAGCCAGGCACUGGCCCCAGUUUCUCUUGGCCUGGAUGGGCCCCAGAAAUCGGGUCUAGGGUCUGACGGGACCCCCAGACCUGCUAGAUCCCCCCUCAGUGCAGGGGGGACAGUCAUCCGCGAGGCUGUAGCCGGUGCGCUGCCUGCUGAGCCUCGCGUUUAAACAUCAAGCCUUCCCGAGGAAGGAAAUUAAGCUGCAGGCACGGCGCAUUUAAUCUGCAGGCAGCGAUAAUCCUGUUUGCAAACACUCGGGCGAGGAAAGAACAGCUCCAGCGCUCCCGCGGGUUUACGCGGCUGGAAACGUGUUGCACAGAAACUAUCCUGCGUGGGGACGGAUGCUUUUAUCCCUGCUCCUAGGGCAAACCUCAUUUCCCCUUAUUUCCCCAUUUUUUUUUUAAACAGCAGUUUUGAGGGAGAUGGGUAGAACUGAGCUGUUGGGUGACAAGGAGAGCGCAGCAUUCUCGCUGGGACCAGCAUCAGGCCUUUCCUGUGCCAAACCCCAGUGCGAGGCAACAGCACCCCAAAAAGCUCCUCUGGGUGCCCAGCCCAAGCAGCUGGACGUCCUCUGCCCUCCUUGGUGGAGGAUCUGCCUGCACUGUGGUCCCUGGACCACCACCAUGAGCAGGGCCACCACCGUGCUGGUGGCUGAGGCCACCGGCCCCUGUCUGCAGCCCUUUCUGGGUGGCUUUUGGGGAGGUCCCCACCAUCGCAAGGGCUUUAGCCCACAAGGGCUGUCCUAGGUGAGGUUGUACCUGGGUGCACCGUGCCAUCUCGGCUCCCCGGGGAGGAAAACCUGGCUCACGUGGUGCAGCCGUGCCCAGCGUGUGUUGGCUCUUCCCCUGGAUUUGUCCUUCCCGCUCCAAGCUGGGGUAUUUUGCUUCAUUCGUGAGGAAUCGCAGCAGCAUCUUGGCACAACUGUCGAGAUUUCCGCAGCCUCUCCCACUGCUCCUGACGGCUGGUGAUUUUUUGUGCGUGCUCCCAGCCGUUCCGGGCUGCUCGGGAGGAUCUGGGAGCGCUGCGAGAGCAGUAUCGCAGGGACGGGGACCCCCCGGGCAGCGGCGAGGGGUGCUGGGGUGAACGAGGGAGGUGUCGGAGAGGUGCAGAUGGUGCGAAAGAGCUGCUAGAGGGAAAGGGAGGAGAAUUGCAGGAUGGGGCAGAGAGACCUGUGUUCAAGUCCUCUCCUUGAGCCUAAUUGCUGAAAUCAGGGUGUCUUUUAAAGACCUGUAAAGGAUCCGAGGCUGCUUAGAGCAUCGUUUCCUUGCCUGCAUCCUCUGGCUUAAGGCCAGGCUUUGCCAGGGCGGUGGUUCAGGUGGUCGGAGCCCUCCGUGCCCAGCGGGUGUUUUUGGUGGAGGAGCCCUGGCUGGCCCCAUCCUCUGCAAGGAUGCUCCUGCACGGGGGCCGGAGCAGCUCGCAGCCCUGCAAAACCGGCUCCCUUCUUUUCUCCCGUUGCUCCUUGUUCAGUUGAGCCAUGGUCCAGGCUGGGUCUCGGCGUGUCCCCUUGGUGGCUUGUCCCCUUCGUGGUGUGUCCCCUGCAGCCCCGCGCGUGGCAGGGAGCCGGGGCCAGGCUGGUGCCGGUGCCGUCGGCGGGAGCUCUUGCGGCAAAGCCGAGGCAGCCGAGCUGAAACGAGCCCAAGGAAUUAAAAGCACCCAGAGCAGAUGGUCGGAGCAGCCUGUCUCCCCGCCGCCGCCUCCUCGCUCUUCCCUUUCCCCAGUCUCUCUCCCGACUCCUCUCAUUUCUGGUUUCGCUUAGCCUGCGUCUUGCCUUGCUUCGCUCUCCCUGGGGGCUCAUCUGGGGCACCCGGCCCGGGGGGGUCCCUGCCCUGAGCAGACGCCCUCGAAAACUGCAACCUGGCGACCCCAAAGCUUCGUCCGCUGUGUUCCUGUGCUUGGAAGAUGAGGAUCCCCAUCUUUGGGAAGGGGGAAACUGAGGCAGGGAUGGGAACUGGGACCUGCUGGGUGUGUGCUGGGGGAGCUGGGAGCAGACCCCAGGCGUCCGGGGCUCCCCGCCCCAGGGCCUUGCAGCUCUUCCCGUGCUUUGUGCUCUUGGCUCCAGCUUUCAGGGCUGUAAAUCCCAGGCAAUGAAGGAGGAGCAGAGAGGGGGGUUAAAUGUCCAUCAGAUCAGCCUGGUCAGAUGGUUUCUACUUUGUCCAGGCUCCUUCUGCACCCCCGGGGUCCUCCCCUUGGUUUCCCCCCCAUCCCAGCUCCCCCAUCGAGAUCAGCCCCCCGGCUCUGCCCUGGGGAUGCGUUUCCAGGUGAUGCAGCCGAAACCGAGCCGCGAAGCCUUCGCUCCCGAUGGGGACGCAGCCCAAACGGCCACAGGGUUUGCGGUCCCUGCGCCGGCCUGCUGCCAAACACAAAUGUCCCCCCGCCGCGGUCCCUUUCUCGGAGGCACUGGCUGUGCCCUUCAGCCGGGCCCCGCUUCGGGGACGACAGGCUUGGCCUGGCUCAAAGGCAUUCAUUGCUUUGGGGGUGAUUUCUCUGUCUCUGCCCCCCCUCCGGGACGCUCGGCCUUUGCCAGCUUUGUUGCAUCUCCGAACCGCGCUCUGGCCGGUGCAGCCCGGGUGCUGGGGAGAAGGACAACGAAGCCGGAAUCGCAGAGGACUGAACAGGUACGAAACGAGCCCCCCAGCCACUGCCCUCUCCCCUCCAUCUCCCACCCGGCCGUGGAGACCCCCAUAAUGGUUCCUCUCGCUGGCCUGGCUGCACAGGAGCCAGGGCUCCGCUGUCACCGGCCCCGACGUGCUGCUGCGUGGGAGGCCGCGGACGGGAGCCAGGCUCCUCUCCCAGGCAGCCUUUCACAUGCCCUGGGGCCUGCUCUGUCCUUAAAGGGCAGCAAAACCCCGGCUUGCGCGGGGGAGCUCGGAGGACUGGGGGGCGAGAGGGAGGGGAGGGCCGUUCGGCCAAACCCACUUGUCUUCGCGUGGAUGAUCAUUUCCAGCUGAGCUGCUAGGAUGGGAUUUACCAGUCUCUCCGGACUCCUGCAGCAGCUCGGAGGGGUCCAAACCGCCGUCGGAGACCUCCCGCCGGCAGGCGAGACGCAGAAGGGCGGGUGGAAACGCCCGUGCGGGGUUGCAGCUAGAGGAUGCAAAGCAGCAACGCCUGAUGUUGGGGUUCAGCAGCCCCUGGUGUUGCACUGGGGUCAGGCUGAGGAAACGCUCCCGGGCGCAGAUGCUUUUGGCUUCCUUCGGACCAGGGGGACAUGUGGGACGCCGAAGGUUGGGUUUGGGCUCUGCCAUCCACGGCCGUGCCCAGGCAGCGCAGGGCGCUUGGCUCCGUGCACGGACUCGCCGGCUCAGGCAUCUCCCAGCCCGGCCUCGAGGACCUCUGAGAAAGGACACGGAGGCACCUGUGUGGCCGGUGUCACCCCUGAGAUCGUGGCCCUGCAGGUAAAAACGCUCGGGAGGAGGGGAAAUGCAGGUGGGAUCUUUGCCCUGUGCCGCCGCUCCCCGCCGUUUGCAGAUCCGCCCCAGGGCUCGGACGGGAGGUGAACCGAGGCUCCGGCUGUGAAGGUCUCCGGAGACGGAGAGCGGCUGUUUCUGGGACGAGACACGCGAGCGAGGAGAGCUCGGCAUGUGAUAGCACUGCAGUGCUGCAAAACACUCCCCAGCUGCUGGAACCAAUGCAACACCCCCCCGUGCUCCCCCAACGGACGUGCUGCUCCGUCCCUGCCCGUGUCCUUCUUGCCAGAUGGCCGAAUCCUGCUCCUCCAGGUGCCCUGGGCCCGGGAGACAUGAUCUCCAGUCCAAAAAUAGGAGCUCCCGCUCUUGCAGCCCCCAGCCUGGGAUGAAACAGCCGACAGCUGCCUGGCACUUUCCCCGCUCUUGGGCCCGAGAUACCUUGCGGAGUUGCCGUCCUGCCCUUGGAGGAACCGGGGGUCCGGGCUCGCGGGAGCCCUCGGAGGCGGCACCGUGCCUGCGCCAGUUCAACAGUCGGGAGCUAAUUCGGCCGGUCAGCGAGUGCAGCGGGUUGGGAUCUUUGGCUGGAAAACGCUGUGUAAGAGCUGGAAAUGCCUCUGCCCUGACUCAGGACGGCCUCUUCUUUCCCAGGCUCCUUUCCCUCCGCGUUAGCAGCGCAAGGCAGCGCUGGGCCUGGAAUAAACCAUGACAGAAAGUGGCUUUGCAGGCAAAGACACAUUUAGAAACCGGAGGGCAUUAUCCCCUUGGAUUAUUGUCACUUGAAUAUAGGUCAGCUUGACAGCUUAUGUGGAAAAUCGUCCUCCGAACGUACCGACAGCGCCACAGUCGCUUGCCCUGUUAAUCCCCCGCUGUUUGCACCCUGCCUGGGGGGCAAGCUGAGGCUCGGGAGCCCGUCCACCGGCAGAGGAGGCAUUAAGGUAAUAAAUCAGUUGUCCCUUCCCAAAGCUACAGGGAGGAAGGUGCUCCCUGAGGCCAGGGGGGGCUCGGAGGCAGGCGGGAGAGGGGAGAAGUAAAUAAAUAUCCCCAUGCUGGCAGGACCCUCCUGAUGCUCCAGACCACGGGGGACCAAAUCGGGAGGGCUUUGCUCCUCCCUGCAGACGUCUGCCCGUGCUCAUCAGUCUCUCCCGCGCUUCCCAUAGCUACGUCCAUGCAUUCCUGCAGGUCCCGCUGCCUGGCUGUGGUUCUUCCUAUCCCGGCAGGCCACGCUGGGAAACGCGGCCUCUCCAGCCGCCUUUCUGGGGGGGGCUGGCCGCUGCAUCGUCACCUGCUCCCUGCUAAACCUCCCCUCGGUAUUUUUCCUGUCCCGAAUCUGCAGCUUCUCUCCUUUAAAAAGGCUCCCGGGUGCCUCCCCCGCGCCGGGCCCCCUCCCCUGGGCUGGCUGCUGGUAGCUAUGAAUGAAGGGCUGGUGGCCCUGUGAUGCCAUCACCAUGGUGACAGAUGGCAGCCGAAAAUGCAGGAGAUCAGGGUCACAUGAGAGCAGCAGUAAACUCAGGCAGUUAUUUAUAGGCUGCUGCUUGAGCAUUUAUGGAAAUGCGUCUGUCUUCAGCCGUGGCAUCAACCCUUCGCUGGAUCUCCGGGGCAUCGUUCUUCCAGGAGAGACAUUACUCAUGCCCACGUUCCUCGUGCAUCCUGCGGUGGCUGCUUGGGCUGGCAUCGGAAAAGUACAGGGCGCUCUGAUUUUCUGUAUCCGAGCCCGAGUCUCUGGAGCAGCUCCCGUUGUCUCAAUAGGACAGACAGAUGCAGCCAUAUCCUAAGUUUCUUGCAUUUCCCUCUGGCAUCUUCUGCUUCUACCACUGGCAUCAUCUUCAGCACAGCAGCUUCUUCCCUUGGCCUGGCUAGUGUGCUGCUUUCAUGGCUACAAGUCAGACUUUGUCUUGGUUUGACCACGAGUGUGUGUUCGUGCUAGGCCUAGAUCCUGGCCAGUUUUAGCUUUGCUACAUCUGGGGAAACCUGUCUGUGCCUCAGUUUACCAACCUGCAGUGUGCUCCAGAUCAGCUGCAGCAAGGGUGGUUGUGUGGCUACCGAAGGGAUAUCUUUAAAUCUGUAGAGGAAUCAAGGCUAAAGAAGCUGCUUACCUUCCCAAAGUGUGCAAGGGACUUAAACAUGUGCACUGUGUUUGACUGGAGGUGUUGUAAAGCCAGUCGUGACCCUGGAAUUCCCCCUUCCCCAGCUCGAGCAGACUCACCCCUGCAUCACGCCGAGAUGUGCAGGAUCGGGAGAGCCGGAUGGCAAGUUCGGACCCUCUUGGUAAGGUCGCUCAGUCCUCCUCCGCUUUCAGCCUGGGUACUUGGAGGGCUUUAGCUGGUGGCGUUUGCAGCCAGCUGGCUCCACAGCUGCCCUUCCCCAGCCCUCCUGAGCGAAGGCGGCAUCCCUCCAGCCACAGAGGCAGCGCCCGGAUGCAAUAAAAAUCUGUCUUUAGCAAUUAGGAAGUUGCUCUCAUGCCUGCAGACAGCAAUGCCUCUUCUCCCAUCGCUGCCCUCUUCCCAGCAGGUCCGAGAAGCUGCUGACGCUGCUCUGCGCAGGAGAUGGCCGUCACCUUGCCGGGUCUCUGUGCGGGAGCAUCCACCUCGAGCCCAGCUCACGCCAACCCUGCGCAGGACUGAAUUGCUCCUGGCUGCACUGUGAUGUCUCCUGGCCCCUUUUCCUCGUGGCUUCGUCUCAGACCGCAAGCGCUCGCCGUGUCCUGGGCAGAAGCAUGGGAGAGGAGGAAGGACCAUCCUGGCAGAGGGAGUGACACCAGGCAACGCGCUGGCCGGGCGCGUUGCUGUCUCGCAGCUCGUUAGUUCCCGUCCAGGGCACUUGAUCCGCACCCGGAGAGCGAGGUCAGCUCCCGCGGGGCCCGGCUCUGGCUGGCCGCGGCGGGCAGGACCGUGCUGGUGGUGCUGUCCAAGGACGCUGCUGAGGUCGGGUCCCUUUGACUUUGGGGUUUCCUACUGAGCAGAGAGGGCCAAAAAAGCCGGUAGCUCUGCAGGAGAGAGCUCGUGUGGGAGCUGUGCUCCAGCCAAGGUGUAAAACCUCCCCCUGGGAUGGCUCAAAGUCUUGUCUUUCCUCCCCGGCUGGGACACGGUGUUCCUGGCUGCUGUGCAGCCAUUUCCUUGCUUCUCCUGUGAAUCAGAAGGUGGGAUGAGCACGAAGGAUUGCGACGAGAUGGUAUUUCUAAAGCAUGAAAGGAUCGAGGCUUUGGAGAGGCCGUGAGAGCCGUCCCUGCCGCCCUCCUUUGUCCCUGCAGGACCAGCCUCGCUGCAAAGCGAAGGCUCCUGCCAGGCUUUGAUCCAGCCACAAAGAUCCAGCAGUCGCUGGCCCCUCUCCAGGCCUCGCUGCUGCGUGUGGGGACAGGUGAGCACCCCGGAUCCGCGUCCCAUCACGCUGCUCGAUGGAAACGCAGGUCAGAAGUCUCGUUCCUGCCUGGAAAGCGAGCAGAAGCCGGAGCAGGGAUGCAGCGUUCCCUCCCUGUGAGGCAGCGCUUUACAUAACAUCUGAGAUGUGCGUGGUGCCUCUCUCCUCCCGGCUGGCUCAUUUCAGUGUGACUCCUUUGACUUCAGCGUGACAUUUGCCCCCCUCCUCCCACUACGGUGCAUCAGCCCUAGAUGAAGCGACAUCGCCACAAACCACACAGAUGCUGGGAACGCUUGUCUGCAAAACGGUGGCAGUAGGAAAACAGGAGCAAGGCACGCACCAUCUUCUCCUUCGCAGCACUUUAAAGCCAUGUUAAGCAGCCUUAUUCCUGCCUGACUUGGGGAUGGGAUGGGUUAAGGAGCAGAUCUAAUGGAAUAUAGCCUCAUUUCUCCUUGGCGGGGGGGAGAGAUAGGAAAAGUGUGACUGUUGCUUUCGCACUCUAGGUCUCCACGUAAGUGCUGGCCGAAGUCCCAGGUACCUACAAGAAUCGAUCCUUUUGUACCUAAUGAGCUGGAAAGAGAAGUGCAUGCAAAGGCCAGAAAUGUGCAUAAUUGAGAUCCAGGAGCUGGAAGAAGCGUGAUUUGGGGCUGGAGGUCUGAGUCACCCCUGGUUUCUCUCUUCCAAAUGUGUCUUUCCUCCUGCUGUGCUUUCUCACAGGCUUGGGUGGCCCAGGCACUCGCCACUGCUACCAGCAUCCCAGGCACCAGCAGCACCCGGAUCAGAGGAGAAAUGUUUGGGGGCUGCGCUGUUAGGUUUGGGUGGGCUGAGUUCAAGUCUUCAGGACUUGUAGACCUUAACUGAUUCCACCAGGCAUUGAGCCAGCAAUUAACUCCUUUGAAAACUCCUUCUCCUCACCAAGAAAUCAUAACAUCCCUCUGGCUUUCUUGAUUAACUCAAUUAGCUGCUUUUUGAGGGCAGGACUCACUAGGCAGCACUGAGUAAGAGUGGAGGGCUCAUCUCUACAGGUAUGUCUGGGCUUUCUGUUAAACACACCGCUGUAACUGCAUCAAAGCAGCCUAAAUGGCUGUGUGAUAAAUUAAUCCUGUGUCAGAA